GUCCAGACUCCUACGGGAGGCAGCAGUGAGGAAUAUUGGUCAAUGGCCGGAAGGCUGAACCAGCCAAGCCGCGUGAAGGACGAAGGUGCCAAGCAUUGUAAACUUCUUUUGUCAAGGGACAAAAUCAGGCUCGAGAGCCUGACCGAGGGUACUUGAAGAAAAAGCAUCGGCUAACUCCGUGCCAGCAGCCGCGGUAAUACGGAGGAUGCGAGCGUUAUCCGGAUUUAUUGGGUUUAAAGGGUGCGUAGGCGGAAGAUCAAGACAGCGGUAAAAAUUCGGGGCUCAACCCCGGCGAGCCGUUGAAACUGGCGGGCUGGAGUUGGAGAGAAGUACGCGGAAUGCGCGGUGUAGCGGUGAAAUGCUUAGAUAUCGCGCAGGACCCCGAUUGCGAAGGCAGCGUACCGGCUCCACACUGACGCUGAGGCACGAAAGCGUGGGUAUCGAACAGGAUUAGAUACCCGUGUACC
This 467-nucleotide ribosomal RNA is filed under the name uncultured bacterium. RNAcentral describes it as "bacterial SSU rRNA". It matches the Rfam family "Bacterial small subunit ribosomal RNA", at positions 329 to 796 of the family's 1533-position model. The record is from RNAcentral.